UACAGAGGUCCCAAGCGUUGUUCGGAUUCACUGGGCGUAAAGGGUGCGUAGGCGGCGCGGUAAGUCGGGUGUGAAAUCUCGGAGCUUAACUCCGAAACUGCAUUCGAUACUGCCGUGCUUGAGGACUGGAGAGGAGACUGGAAUUUACGGUGUAGCGGUGAAAUGCGUAGAUAUCGUAAGGAAGACCAGUGGCGAAGGCGGGUCUCUGGACAGUUCCUGACGCUGAGGCACGAAGGCCAGGGGAGCAAACGGG
RNAcentral lists this ribosomal RNA (253 nucleotides) under uncultured bacterium. RNAcentral's name for it is "partial 16S ribosomal RNA". It matches the Rfam family "Bacterial small subunit ribosomal RNA", at positions 524 to 776 of the family's 1533-position model. The record is from RNAcentral.